RNAcentral lists this ribosomal RNA (727 nucleotides) under uncultured Lactobacillus sp. RNAcentral's name for it is "bacterial SSU rRNA". It matches the Rfam family "Bacterial small subunit ribosomal RNA", at positions 28 to 776 of the family's 1533-position model. The record is from RNAcentral. Lineage: Bacteria; Bacillati; Bacillota; Bacilli; Lactobacillales; Lactobacillaceae.
AACGAACGCUGGCGGCAGGCCUAACACAUGCAAGUCGAGCGAGAUCUUCGGGUCUAGCGGCGGACGGGUGAGUAACGCGUGGGAAUAUGCCUCUUGGUACGGAAUAGCCUCGGGAAACUGGGAGUAAUACCGUAUGUGCCCUUUGGGGGAAAGAUUUAUCGCCAAGAGAUUAGCCCGCGUUGGAUUAGGUAGUUGGUGGGGUAAUGGCCUACCAAGCCGACGAUCCAUAGCUGGUUUGAGAGGAUGAUCAGCCACACUGGGACUGAGACACGGCCCAGACUCCUACGGGAGGCAGCGGUGGGGAAUUUUGGACAAUGGGCGAAAGCCUGAUCCAGCCAUGCCGCGUGCAGGAUGAAGGCCUUCGGGUUGUAAACUGCUUUUGUACGGAACGAAACGGCCUUUUCUAAUAAAGAGGGCUAAUGACGGUACCGUAAGAAUAAGCACCGGCUAACUACGUGCCAGCAGCCGCGGUAAUACGUAGGGUGCGAGCGUUAAUCGGAAUUACUGGGCGUAAAGCGUGCGCAGGCGGUUAUGUAAGACAGUUGUGAAAUCCCCGGGCUCAACCUGGGAACUGCAUCUGUGACUGCAUAGCUAGAGUACGGUAGAGGGGAAUGGAAUUCCGCGUGUAGCAGUGAAAUGCGUAGAUAUGCGGAGGAACACCGAUGGCGAAGGCAAUCCCCUGGACCUGUACUGACGCUCAUGCACGAAAGCGUGGGGAGCAAACAGG